This is a long non-coding RNA of Oreochromis niloticus (Nile tilapia), 1263 nucleotides long. RefSeq lists it as uncharacterized. The record is from RefSeq and is a predicted model, not a curated record. The transcript is spliced from 3 exons. NCBI's taxonomy places the organism in Eukaryota, Metazoa, Chordata, Actinopteri, Cichliformes, Cichlidae.
UUGAAAAAAAUAGCUGCAAUUGUUGUAACGCGAGCUAUGAAAGACAACCUGCAUCUGCACCUGUGGUCACUGGGCCUCACAUCAUGUUUGCAGCAUGUUCUGAACCACAAACAGAGCAGUGCUAAAGUUUCUUGGAACUGGUGGGCUAGUGAUGUAGACACUGAUGCUAGUGAUUAUUUAAGGUGGGGCUACUGAAAUGUUUAAAAACUGAAGCCCCCAAAGUGCUUUUUGUUGCUCUGUGACACAAAUGAGCUCCAACCUGCUCAGGUAGAAUUUAAUAACAGCUGAGCUGCACUAGACCUGGUCUCUGCUCAUCUUGACUCCUCGUUUGAGCAUUUCAUUUACUGAAGACAUCUUCUACACCUGGUGUUCCAGACGACUGACUAGUGCCUCCUGCAGGUUAAUCAACCAACCACUGAUCAGUAAAGCAAAAAAUAAGGAAACAAUGAGGAUCCUGUUUACCUGUUUGCUGCUUAUGCUGCUCUUUGCCACUGGACUUUCAAAACCAGCCAAUCUUAAACCCAAACCAAUUGACAAGCGUCAGAAUGAAACCCCUUAUGAAAAGUUUAAACGACAGCAUGUAGAUGCCAAGAUGACUGCGAAAAAAUGUGAGGCAGAAAUAAAAAACAAGCAGAUCUACAAUGUUGACAACAGUUGUAAGGACACAAACACGUUCAUCCUUAGUGAUUACGAAAAGGUCAAAGCCAUUUGUAAUGGUCAUGGGUCACCUCAUAAGAAUACUUGCUUGACAGAGAGUAAAGCAAAGUUCAGUAUUGUUAAAUGUGAACUAAAGAAUAAUGGAGGCAGGAAACCCAACUGCCAGUAUAAAGGCAAACUUCUCACUAACAGAAUAGUUGUAGUCCAAUGUGGAGGAUUACCUGUGCACUUUGAGAAGGACAUAGUGACUUUUGAAUCCAAUAACGCAACUAUAGGAAAAAUCCCCAUGGACUCUACUUCUGUACCCACAAAUAUGCAUGUCUGAGAUAACAAAAGAGAAACAUUUAUCAUCAGCUCUGACCAAAAGUCGCUGGAAACAUCUUGUUCGUCACAAGUUUUCACUCGAGCCUGUCUUAUCAGUAACCAUUUACAUUUUUUUGAACAUGUGAUCGGCUUCACACAUUGCAUUAAAUAAUAUAAAACUAUUUUCAAACUAUAUUCAACCCACCAAUACUGAUAUAUUAAUUGUACUGACUGUAGGAUGCUGUGUAGAAAUAAUCUCUUCCAUCAAACUGGCUUCUAAUAAAAUAUUUUUAUUUGAUCGCA